AUAAGCUGGGACUGAUCAGCCUACUGCUCUUUUCACUUCACGCAGCAAGUUCCUGCCUCUUGGUGUAAGCAACAAGCAGUGUCUUUCACCAGCAAAGCACAAUGGGACUGUAAUCAUUGCUGUCCUGUGUAUCGGCUCAUCUAUCACUGACAAGUCAUAUCUGCUACCACUAUCCACAAGCAUCAAGCUGUCUGUUCCAGCGUGUCCACAGCUUACGAUCAAUAUACAUCAAGAAAUCAGAGAGGAGAAAUGGAUCAAAAGAAAAGAAGUCAAACUGCUAAUGCACCAAACAAAAAGAGCAAUGAAGUCAAACUAAAACAUUUCAGAGAAAAUACAAAUAUUGGAAUGCGGAGAUGCUCCACUUCAUCUGGCAGACUGAUGCAAG
Rana temporaria (common frog) is the source of this 385-nucleotide long non-coding RNA. RefSeq lists it as uncharacterized. Lineage: Eukaryota; Metazoa; Chordata; Amphibia; Anura; Ranidae. The record is from RefSeq and is a predicted model, not a curated record. The transcript is spliced from 2 exons.